This 253-nucleotide ribosomal RNA is filed under the name uncultured bacterium. RNAcentral's name for it is "partial 16S ribosomal RNA". It matches the Rfam family "Bacterial small subunit ribosomal RNA", at positions 524 to 776 of the family's 1533-position model. The record is from RNAcentral.
UACGUAGGUGACAAGCGUUGUCCGGAUUUACUGGGCGUAAAGGGCGUGCAGGCGGUUUGUUAAGUGCAGGGUGAAAGCUCCCGGCUCAACUGGGAGAGGUCCUUGCAUACUGGCAAACUCGAGGGAGGCAGAGGAAAGUGGAAUUCCCGGUGUAGUGGUGAUAUGCGUAGAUAUCGGGAGGAACACCUGUGGCGAAGGCGGCUUUCUGGGCCUUACCUGACGCUGAGACGCGAAAGCGUGGGGAGCGAACGGG